RNAcentral lists this ribosomal RNA (216 nucleotides) under Blautia sp. MSK.21.1. Its description in RNAcentral is "partial 16S ribosomal RNA". It matches the Rfam family "Bacterial small subunit ribosomal RNA", at positions 1 to 196 of the family's 1533-position model. The record is from RNAcentral. Lineage: Bacteria; Bacillati; Bacillota; Clostridia; Lachnospirales; Lachnospiraceae.
UUUUAUCAGAGAGUUUGAUCCUGGCUCAGGAUGAACGCUGGCGGCGUGCUUAACACAUGCAAGUCGAACGGGAAUUACUUUAUUGAAACUUCGGUGGAUUUAAUUUAAUUCUAGUGGCGGACGGGUGAGUAACGCGUGGGUAACCUGCCUUGUACAGGGGGAUAACAGUCAGAAAUGACUGCUAAUACCGCAUAAGCGCACAGGACCGCAUGGUCC